UCGAGGGGCAGCACGGGUAGCAAUACCUGGUGGCGACCGGCAAACGGGUGCGGAACACGUACGCAACUUUCCUUCAAGUGAGGAAUAGCCCAGGGAAACUUGGAUUAAUACCUCGUAAUAUUAUGAAGUGGCAUCACUUUAUAAUUAUAGCUCCGGCGCUUGAAGAUGGGCGUGCGCCUGAUUAGGUAGUUGGCGGGGUAACGGCCCACCAAGCCUACGAUCAGUAACUGGUGUGAGAGCACGACCAGUCACACGGGCACUGAGACACGGGCCCGACUCCUACGGGAGGCAGCAGUAAGGAAUAUUGGGCAAUGGACGCAAGUCUGACCCAGCCAUGCCGCGUGGAGGAUGAAGGUCCUCUGGAUUGUAAACUUCUUUUAUUUGGGAAGAAACCCAUAUUUUCUAAUGUGGUUGACGGUACCAGAUGAAUAAGCACCGGCUAACUCCGUGCCAGCAGCCGCGGUAAUACGGAGGGUGCAAGCGUUAUCCGGAUUCACUGGGUUUAAAGGGUGCGUAGGUGGGCAGGUAAGUCAGUGGUGAAAUCUCCGGGCUUAACUCGGAAACUGCCGUUGAUACUAUCUGUCUUGAAUAUCGUGAAGGUUAGCGGAAUAUGUCAUGUAGCGGUGAAAUGCUUAGAUAUGACAUAAAACACCCCAUGGCGAAGGCAGCUAACUACCCGAUCAUUGACACUGAGGCACGAAAGGCGUGGGGGAGCAAAACAGGAUUAAAUACCCUGGUUAGUCCACCGCCCUAAACGAUGGAUACUCCACUUCAGCGAUACACUGUUUGGUGUCUGAA
Molecule: ribosomal RNA, 798 nt
Filed under: uncultured Sphingobacteriia bacterium
Lineage: Bacteria; Pseudomonadati; Bacteroidota; Sphingobacteriia
Description: bacterial SSU rRNA
Rfam family: Bacterial small subunit ribosomal RNA
Source: RNAcentral